GCCACCGACAGCCAUGGCUCGUCGGAGCUCUGCCCGACAGUGCGCGGCCCAAAUCAAUAAUCAGAUUUAGAAGCCAAACACUUACAACCAAUACCUCCACCAAAGUCAAAACCUCGAAAUUGGCACGCACCUCAAGCCAAUCAUGUCAGCUCUAAGCAUUAUUCCACGACAUCAAACAAAAUCCUCGCUCCGAUCUUCAUCGUCGAACCGCUUUUGCCCUCUGUUAACCUUAGGGUUCCCC
This 241-nucleotide long non-coding RNA is filed under the name Glycine max (soybean). RNAcentral describes it as "long non-coding RNA (GMAX_LNC001653)". Lineage: Eukaryota; Viridiplantae; Streptophyta; Magnoliopsida; Fabales; Fabaceae. The record is from RNAcentral.